This 441-nucleotide ribosomal RNA is filed under the name Streptococcus sp. oral taxon B59. RNAcentral describes it as "bacterial SSU rRNA". It matches the Rfam family "Bacterial small subunit ribosomal RNA", at positions 28 to 446 of the family's 1533-position model. The record is from RNAcentral. Lineage: Bacteria; Bacillati; Bacillota; Bacilli; Lactobacillales; Streptococcaceae.
GACGAACGCUGGCGGCGUGCCUAAUACAUGCAAGUGGAACGCACUGAUGAAGCCGUAGCUUGCUACAAUUUCAUCAGUGAGUCGCGAACGGGUGAGUAACGCGUAGGUAACCUGCCUGGUAGCGGGGGAUAACUAUUGGAAACGAUAGCUAAUACCGCAUAAGACAUUUUACUGCAUGGUAAGAUGUUAAAAGAUGCAACUGCAUCACUACCAGAUGGACCUGCGUUGUAUUAGCUAGUUGGUGAGGUAACGGCUCACCAAGGCCACGAUACAUAGCCGACCUGAGAGGGUGAUCGGCCACACUGGGACUGAGACACGGCCCAGACUCCUACGGGAGGCAGCAGUAGGGAAUCUUCGGCAAUGGGGGGAACCCUGACCGAGCAACGCCGCGUGAGUGAAAGAAAGGUUUUUCGGGAUCGUAAAAGCUCUGUCGUAAAGAGA